CAUGAAUAAUAUAUCUGCUUGUGGUGGCGAGGCCUGGCUAGUGGUUGGCUGACAGGAAGAUUGAUGCCGCGGCCCAGAUAGCAUCUCUCCAUUGAGGGGACGCUGUUGACUGCGACGCUGCCCAUAUUCAUUAGGCCACCGUCGUCGGCUUCUGAGCGUAACGACACACUUAUGUAUAAUUUACGGGCACAUCCAGAGGCUGAGGCGGCAAACAUGAUGCAAUGGGACAAAACAGGCCUUUUUUGGCACCAGGCGUCUGCAGUUUAGCUUUACAGUGUGUUCCCAUGUAGAGGCCGAUGGAUUACUCGCAGUGUGCAUUUCUCUGGUGCUUUUAUUUGAAUCAUCUUCUCUCUGAAGUGUAGCUGAAUUUGUGAAGUGAAGCAGGCAGCAGUAGAGUCCUUUGUAUCCAGUGAAGUUGGUUAAAAAAGCUGGCAUUUUUUUGAGCCCCACCUGUUUGGAAUACAGUGUUUUUAAAUGGUAUCAUUUACUUAAAUGUUUUGUCUAAAUGGACUGCCAAUGUUUUCAGUAAUGCCAUGUUUCUUUUUCUAUUUGGAGUUUGAUCAUUGUUUGUUCACUUUGUGCCGUCUUAAGAUUAUUCUCCUUUUCUUAUUCUUCUUUUCCCUUUUAAACUAUUUAUUAAUUUUCCAUCUGUUAUUGAUUUGGUGAUUUGCUGUUGGUGUGGUGCGUGUCGCGUUGUAUACCAUUGUGUCUUGUAUUGUCCAUUUUUUUUAUUCGUAGGUGUUGGGGUGGGACGUCCUUGAAAAUGAGAAGAUACACAUUUCAAACAUGACAUCUGUCUUCAAAGGCACAAAAGUGUGUUGGGUCACAUGGUUGGAACUGUGUACUACAUGUGCAGGUGUAACACAAGCUUUAGACCUUGUGUGUGUGUGUGUGUGUGUGUGUGUGUGUGUGUGUGUGUGCUCCUGCGCGUGUCCACACAGACUGCGUGCACCCUGAUCCGGUCCGGCCCGGUGCCAGCUUGAUCGCGUUGGCGGUUGGAGCUGCUGCUAAGCGCUGGUGAAUCACGCCCGAGCAGGUUACCUUGCCGUAUAGCUGCCGGGGAAGCGGAGCAGCGACGGCUGCGUCCACCUCGCUGCCGCUGACCUUGGAGGUCACUCGCCAGGAAGGAGACAUUCAUCACUCUGACACUUCUGGGGGAAAGUGGAUG
Molecule: long non-coding RNA, 1168 nt
Organism: Gasterosteus aculeatus aculeatus (three-spined stickleback)
Lineage: Eukaryota; Metazoa; Chordata; Actinopteri; Perciformes; Gasterosteidae
Source: Ensembl